Molecule: ribosomal RNA, 250 nt
Filed under: uncultured bacterium
Lineage: Bacteria
Description: partial 16S ribosomal RNA
Rfam family: Bacterial small subunit ribosomal RNA
Source: RNAcentral
UCGAGAAUUUUUCUCAAUGGGCGAAAGCCUGAAGGAGCGACGCCGCGUGGGGGAUGAAUGGCUUCGGCCCGUAAACCCCUGUCAUUUGCGAACAAACCUUUUCACCUAACACGUGAAGAGCUGAUUGUAGCGAAAGAGGAAGGGACGGCUAACUCUGUGCCAGCAGCCGCGGUAAUACAGAGGUCCCGAGCGUUGUUCGGAUUCACUGGGCGUAAAGGGUGCGUAGGUGGUGAGGUAAGUCUGAUGUGAA